CCGGCUAUAGGUUAAUGGUAGACUUGUCGCCUUCCAAGCGAUUUGUGUCAGUUCAAAUCUGACUAGCCGGA
This is a non-coding RNA of Knufia peltigerae, 71 nucleotides long. NCBI's taxonomy places the organism in Eukaryota, Fungi, Ascomycota, Eurotiomycetes, Chaetothyriales, Trichomeriaceae. The record is from the annotation of a GenBank genome assembly.